Molecule: non-coding RNA, 30 nt
Filed under: Homo sapiens (human)
Lineage: Eukaryota; Metazoa; Chordata; Mammalia; Primates; Hominidae
Source: RNAcentral
AGAGCAGUGUUGCUGUAGACAUCCACGUUC